Molecule: long non-coding RNA, 2542 nt
Filed under: Mus musculus (house mouse)
Lineage: Eukaryota; Metazoa; Chordata; Mammalia; Rodentia; Muridae
Description: long non-coding RNA chr6:45194875-45197417
Source: RNAcentral
GAAAUGAAGACAGUGUCUAGAUAUAAAAUACAUAUUACCAUGAGUCAUAUUGAAAUUGAAUUCUGGAACACAGAGACAUAUUUUUUUCUAGAAUUUUUGGAAAGGAAUUUGUAAAAAAAAUUGAAACAAUAAUUAUACAAGUAAGGAAAAUAGAUUAAAGAGAACAUUUGGAGUCUUCUCACUCCUGACUGCUCUGAAAAAAAAAAAAGAAGGACAUUAACAGGACUUAUAGAAACGUACUUAACAAAAUGUUAAUGUUUUUACUUUUCAAGAUACAGAAAGAAGAUGUUUACAUAUAUAUGCAUAUAUAUUUGACACAGGUAUACACACACACACACACACACACUCACCUAUAUAGUUUUAAAUUUAUAAUGUAUUGAUAAGAGUCAGAAGGUCAGAAAUCCUAAUUAAAUCACAGAUGUCCAAGCCAAGCACUGUAACACAGCAUCAGUAAUUUUACUAACCAAUAUAUAGAAUUCCUAAUGGAAAAUAUUAUUGAAAUACUUAACAAAGAAGGUUUAGAGAAACCAGUGUCAAAAUGAAAGAAAUCUGGGAUUGAAAUGAUGUUAUUUUUUGUUAGAUAUUUUCUUUAUUUACAUUUCAAAUGUUAUCCCCUGUCCUGACUUCCCCUCCAAAAAAUCCCUUAUUCCAUUCCCCCUACCCCUGCUCAUCAACUCAUCCAAUAUUGCUUCCCUGUCCUGGCAUUUCCCUAAACUGACAGGAGCCUGAUAUAGGUAUCUCCUGAAAGGAUCAGCCAAUGACUGACAAAUACAGAGGUGGUUACUCUCAGGCAAAAUUAGACUGAGCACAAGGUCCUCAAAGGAGGAGCUAAAGAAAGGACUGAAGGAAAUGAAGGAGCUUGCAGCUACAUAGGAAGAACAACAAUAUGAACCAACCAGUUCCCCUAGAGUUCCCAGGGACUAAACCACUAACCAAAGAGAACCCAUGGCUCCAGCUGCAUAUGUAGCAGAAAAUGACCUUGUUGGACAUCUGUGAGAGGAGAUCCCCUUGGUCCUGAGAAAUGAUGUUAUUAUUGAAAUGCUAAUAGUAAAAAUUGUUGACAUCCAAUUUGAGAACAUCUACAUUUAAUUUUUCUAAAAUACUCAGCAUAAGCGUAGAGCAAAUGUUUAUGUUUAGAUGUGCCAUAAUAGUGGAUGAUGCAUUCAGAAAUCACCUUAAAACAUUAACAUUGCAUGUAUUUCACUUGUUCUUGAGUAUGGAGUUGAAUUCAAUGAAGAAAUCAGCUCUUUGUUUACAGUUUCAUAAAAUUCCAUUCAAACAAGCCAAAUGAAGGCUUGGAGAGAAGGAGAUAUGUGCAUGUCUGUAAACAAAUUAAAUAAUAAAUAAUUUGAGGUAGUCAGUUUGAAAUAAGUCAUUCUCUCUUUUGACCUAAAACUUUCAUUCACCAUCUCUCUUUUUUCUCUUAAUGAUGUUUCUGAUUUAUUAUUCUAAUUUCAAUAAAAAUCACUCAAGAGAAUAAAGUGAAAUGAAUAAAAGAUAGGAAAAAUAUUGUUGUAAACAAUUUCUAGUUUUCUUUUUUAUUUUCUUAUUCUUUCUUCCAACUUUCCCCUCUGUUCCUUCUCUCUGUCUCUGUAUCUCUCUCUAUUUUAUUCUGCCAAAAUAAUUUAAACAUUUUAUAACCUCAUCGGAAAAUCAUGGUGCUCAUUUCAUUUUAAAGCACAAAGGCCUAUUUGAUUGACCAUUUAGAUAGCACCUCCCUUUUAAUACUCUUUCUUCCCACAACUAGCAAUUGCCAAUUUCAAGUAAGUUUAUAUAUGAAAAAGUUUCAAGUCAUGUUCCGUUAAAAAUGCUUGUGUUCAAAACAGACACAAUAUGUUAAAUAAAAAACGUAUUAUAUUUAUAUAUAUAUCAAAUUCCAUUUGAAAUGCCAUUAAGAUUGAAUUAUCAAUUGCAUAUUGUCUAUGACAAGAUGUUAAUCAUACACUUAUGCAAAAAUAUGAGAAGUUAUUGAACUUUUUAUUUUUCUUCUGAUUUUCUAAGCUAAUGUGUGAAAGCACCUAGUCAUUUCUGUAAGCUAACACAAUUAGGUUUUGGGAAGCAAAUUCUGUUUUAUGUUCAAAUCAUCUAGAAUUUCUUUCAAUGGCUUUCAGUGAAAAACCUUGACAAGUGCACAAGAUGAGGUACAGGUUGGGACCAUAACUUGAUUUUUCAUUUUGGGAAUGAAAUUUAACUCGGGGAGAGAAUGAUGUGCUCUAUCUGUUCAAAAAUUGUUUUUGUUAUAAGGUCUAUUCAUAAGUGAGCAGGAACGGUAAAGAGAAAGGGGGUUUUAAAUUGCUUCCUGCAGCAGAAUAUGAGGCAGUAAAAUUCUGCUAAGCAGAGAAAACAAGAAAAUAGAAAGGAUGCCCUGAAGAGAAGCUGAUAACAAUGGAAUGAUGCAAAUAACUACAUAUAUGUGUAUGUAUGUGUGCUCUUAUAAAUAUUUUUAAGCACACACAUUAUAUAUAUGUAUGUGUGUAUAUGUAUAGUGUGUGUGUGUGUGUUUUAAACUUCAAAUGUUAUAAAAGAGAUUGGUGGUGUUACC